AGCUACCAUGGCAACCGAAUGCAGAAAGGCUUGUCCCAGGAAAUAGAUGAAUUCAUAAAUAACCCCGAAGUGCUGAUAUCAACAGUCGCAGGACCCUCCUGCAAUGCUAAUUUGACGCCCGUGCCCCCUGCGGCCUGUGUCCAGAGCAUCCUGGGCAUCUGGGGUGAGGGACGCUCGUGGCUUCCACCACAAGCAUCAUUCCAGGGCCAACAGACUGGCUGCCCUUACCUGGACCCUGGAAAUGCUGGGGCCACUUCGGGGCUGUCUGCUCUACACGGGGUGACAACCCUGCUGGACAUUCCCUGAGCACUUGUCUGAGAGCUGGUCACAUGCUGCCUGUGCCACUGUGGCUCUCCAUGACCUUCAUGUUCCACAACAGAACAGCUCCCCACGGCCACGAUUGUGCCAAGGGGCGUGAGUAGCCAGCAGGGGUCACGACAGCUGCCCGUCUGGCUGCCCACAGGAUGGAGCUAAGCCACGUUUCCAGGUGUGUGACCCUGGCCUCGAGUCAGUCCUCAGCCCAUCCUGAGGACCUCACAGAACCAUCUUUCCAGAAACCCCAGAGCAUCGUCAGCCAUUGCUGGCCCGCCAACCUGCCUCCUGUCUGAAGCUGUCUCUGUGUCCGGAAGAGCCAUUCACCCAACGGGUGUCUGUUUUACGCCCAAGUUGCUGAAUGGGGUGGCUGGGGACACAGGAGGGUGGUGGAGGAGCUGCCUGCCAGGGGGAAGGUUGGGGAGAUGUCCAGGCUGUGUUCAAGCUUCAGUUCUAACGCCCCCUGGAAGAGGACGCGGUGAGCCAGUCCCAGGGCUGUGGGACUCCUGUCCACACCUACCCUUAGCAGCCCAGACCACCUAGAGGGAGACAAUGGCGCCAGCAGGGCCAGCGGCCAGGGGGUCACUGUGCAGUGUAGGGCACCCUCGAAAGGCCAAGCCCUUUCUCUUGCGACCACUGACUGACCUUACAUGCCGCACUAACCGCUGCCUCCCCGAGGGUUCGGUCUGUGCCCCGCACGCAGCUUGUCAGCUCUGAGACAGAUCACUUGCUCCCCACGGCCUCGCUGCCAGCCCGGAAGGAGACUGUGGAGCAUCCCGGUGGAACCGGGACCCUGUGCUGUCUCCACGGGAGGCGUCCGGUGCCAGCCUGGCUCACCUGAGCCCCGGUGCACAGCAGGGCUUCGCACCAACCCCAUGCCCCGUGUGCUCUUGCCUGGAAGUGGGGUCUCCCUUUCUGUCUCUGUCUCUCUUCCCCCAUCUCUGUCUC
Long non-coding RNA from Cercocebus atys (sooty mangabey), 1260 nucleotides. RefSeq lists it as uncharacterized. The record is from RefSeq and is a predicted model, not a curated record. The transcript has 3 exons. Lineage: Eukaryota; Metazoa; Chordata; Mammalia; Primates; Cercopithecidae.